AAAAACUGAAAAUUAUUAGUUCCAAGUCUGGCUAGAAAUCUUUUUUUUUUUUUUUUUUUUUUUGGACAGAUUACCAAAUUAAAUAAGAAUUAUUGUUGUCUUGAAAACUUAUAUAUAGUUCAAAUUUGCUGUAAAGAUGUAAUUGCCCUACCAUUUUGUGCUUUUGAAGUUUUGGCCUUGACCAUGUGUUUGUUCCUGCUUUGCAUUUAUUGUGUAUGCAUUUUAGUAGUUGGUUAUUUGAAUGAAUUUUCUCAAAUCUACUCAGUCCAAGAUGUCGUAUGGAGGUUCUUUAGACAGCAUAAUCACAACCUGCUUUAUGAACAGAAGCUCCAAUAAGGUUGAAAUGCAGUUGCCAUUGCUCUUUGCCCUUCCAAUAAUCCUCUAAACAUGAGUAGCAUCUUAUCGGUGGUUAUAAAGGAAU
Molecule: long non-coding RNA, 421 nt
Organism: Poecilia latipinna (sailfin molly)
Lineage: Eukaryota; Metazoa; Chordata; Actinopteri; Cyprinodontiformes; Poeciliidae
Exons: 2
Source: RefSeq, a predicted model, not a curated record